UACAGAGGAGCCUAGCGUUGUCCGGAUUGACUGGGCGUAAAGCGCACGCAGGCGGUUGCGCGCGUGGGGUGUGAAAUCUGGCCGCUUAACGGCCAGGCGCCAUCCCAUACGGCGCGACUGGAGUGAUGCAGAGGUCGAUGGAAUUGCCGGUGUAGUGGUGAAAUGCGUAGAGAUCGGCAGGAACACCCAGGGGGAAACCAGUCGACUGGGCAUCUACUGACGCUGAGGUGCGAGAGCGUGGGGAGCGAACCGG
Molecule: ribosomal RNA, 253 nt
Filed under: uncultured bacterium
Lineage: Bacteria
Description: partial 16S ribosomal RNA
Rfam family: Bacterial small subunit ribosomal RNA
Source: RNAcentral